Molecule: ribosomal RNA, 576 nt
Filed under: uncultured beta proteobacterium
Lineage: Bacteria; Pseudomonadati; Pseudomonadota; Betaproteobacteria
Description: bacterial SSU rRNA
Rfam family: Bacterial small subunit ribosomal RNA
Source: RNAcentral
CACGGACUUCGGUCUGGUGGCGAGUGGCGAACGGGUGAGUAAUAUAUCGGAACAUACCCAGUAGUGGGGGAUAACUAUCCGAAAGGAUAGCUAAUACCGCAUACGAUCUGUGGAUGAAAGCAGGGGAUCUUCGGACCUUGUGCUAUUGGAAUGGCCGAUAUCUGAUUAGCUAGUUGGUAGGGUAAAAGCCUACCAAGGCGACGAUCAGUAGCUGGUCUGAGAGGACGACCAGCCACACUGGAACUGAGACACGGUCCAGACUCCUACGGGAGGCAGCAGUGGGGAAUUUUGGACAAUGGGGGCAACCCUGAUCCAGCAAUGCCGCGUGAGUGAAGAAGGCCCUCGGGUUGUAAAGCUCUUUUGUCAGGGAAGAAACGGAGUUCUCUAAUAUAGGAUUCUAAUGACGGUACCUGAAGAAUAAGCACCGGCUAACUACGUGCCAGCAGCCGCGGUAAUACGUAGGGUGCAAGCGUUAAUCGGAAUUACUGGGCGUAAAGCGUGCGCAGGCGGUUUUGUAAGUCUGAUGUGAAAUCCCCGGGCUCAACCUGGGAACUGCAUUGGAGACUGCAAGGUUAG